This 425-nucleotide ribosomal RNA is filed under the name uncultured bacterium. RNAcentral describes it as "partial 16S ribosomal RNA". It matches the Rfam family "Bacterial small subunit ribosomal RNA", at positions 354 to 796 of the family's 1533-position model. The record is from RNAcentral.
GUGGGGAAUAUUGGACAAUGGGCGCAAGCCUGAUCCAGCCAUGCCGCGUGAGUGAUGAAGGUCUUAGGAUUGUAAAGCUCUUUCACCGGUGAAGAUAAUGACGGUAACCGGAGAAGAAGCCCCGGCUAACUUCGUGCCAGCAGCCGCGGUAAUACGAAGGGGGCUAGCGUUGUUCGGAAUUACUGGGCGUAAAGCGCACGUAGGCGGAUAUUUAAGUCAGGGGUGAAAUCCCAGAGCUCAACUCUGGAACUGCCUUUGAUACUGGGUAUCUUGAGUAUGGAAGAGGUGAGUGGAAUUCCGAGUGUAGAGGUGAAAUUCGUAGAUAUUCGGAGGAACACCAGUGGCGAAGGCGGCUCACUGGUCCAUUACUGACGCUGAGGUGCGAAAGCGUGGGGAGCAAACAGGAUUAGAUACCCGAGUAGUCC